AGGGGCUGGCGUCAGCCGCCCCUGUGAGGUGGCCGUAGCGUGGACGAGUAAGAAGGGUUGAGUAAAGUGGACAAACACCUGGUUAGGAGAAGAGGGCAGGCCCGCAGCCGCCCUCCGGAGGAGGACUCGGGGCCUCGCGGGCGCCGGAGGAGGUUCCUGGGCCUCGGAGGGCCGCCCCGGCGCGCCGCCCCGGCGCGAGCGGGCGCGGGCGGGGGAGGGGAAGUGAGAGGUUGUUUAUGACCGGGGACUAAUCUCCUCCGCGAGUCCCAGCGCUCCCUCUGGGGAGUGCGGUUGAGGGGCUGUCCUCGCACGGAGCCUCGCUCGGCCUCGGGGGAGCCACGAGAGGUGGGAGUUGGACCCGCAGCGGGCCAGGAGCCCUGUCAUUGGAGGACCCGCCAAAAAGGAAGCAAACCCUCUUUUUCUUUAUCCAACCCCAAAUAGCUAGGGCCUAGGGGGAAGACUCACAUAUCGAUAAAUGGUUUGUUGCCCGUUUUAUUCUCUGGGAAAUACAACUGAUCUUACCAAAGAAAUAACCUGUCUCUUGCCGUGUUUACUUAGAGCCAUAGAAUACCUGUUUCAGAGCUGAAGGGGACCUGAGCCCAUGAUAAUCCAUUACCUCGUGAGAAAGCGGAAAAACUGACUUCAGCUUGCCCAGAUGGCGCAGAGAAUGGGUUUCCCGUAACCCCGCCUGUGUCUUUCCUUCAGCCUCGUCCCAAAUGCCGUGGGAGGGAAGGCACUCUCUGUCAAGCUGCUGUCACCUUACCUGAAGUAAGGAGUCCACGCCUGCAUGUCCGAGGAAAACAGUUUUCUCAAACACAUUAGUUGAAAAACUGAAGACGCUGCCUAAAAUACAAGCUGAGUUAGAGACAGCCCUUGUAAGACUAGGAACAGACUUAAGUAUGCCCUGGAA
Molecule: long non-coding RNA, 910 nt
Filed under: Homo sapiens (human)
Lineage: Eukaryota; Metazoa; Chordata; Mammalia; Primates; Hominidae
Description: non-protein coding INTS6-AS1:10
Source: RNAcentral